AGUGAACGCUGGCGGUAGGCCUAACACAUGCAAGUCGAACGGCAGCACAGUAAGAGCUUGCUCUUACGGGUGGCGAGUGGCGGACGGGUGAGGAAUACAUCGGAAUCUACUUUUUCGUGGGGGAUAACGUAGGGAAACUUACGCUAAUACCGCAUACGACCUACGGGUGAAAGCAGGGGAUCUUCGGACCUUGCGCGAUUGAAUGAGCCGAUGUCGGAUUAGCUAGUUGGCGGGGUAAAGGCCCACCAAGGCGACGAUCCGUAGCUGGUCUGAGAGGAUGAACAGCCCCCAUGGAAAUGGGACGCGGCCCAAACUCCUAAGGGGAGACGGGGGGGGAAAAAAUGGAAAUAGGGGGAAAGCCUAAUCCAGCCAUACCGUGGGGGGGAAAAAGGCUUUCGGUUUGAAAAGCCCUUUUGUUGGGAAAAAAAAGCAGCAGGUUAAACCCCCGUUGUUCGGAAGGGGCCAAAAAAAGAAGAACCGGCUAAUUUCGU
Molecule: ribosomal RNA, 491 nt
Filed under: uncultured bacterium
Lineage: Bacteria
Description: partial 16S ribosomal RNA
Rfam family: Bacterial small subunit ribosomal RNA
Source: RNAcentral